This is a non-coding RNA of Leptonychotes weddellii (Weddell seal), 322 nucleotides long. The record is from RefSeq and is a predicted model, not a curated record. NCBI's taxonomy places the organism in Eukaryota, Metazoa, Chordata, Mammalia, Carnivora, Phocidae.
GAGAUGGCCAGUCUAUGAUAUGAAGGAAGAUCUAUCAGAAAAUUGAUCAAUACAGUUUAACAAAUACUGUUUCCUCAAAAGAUCAUGUGUCUUCAGUGGUUACAUGGAAGUGUUCCAGGCCUGAACCAUGUGCAUUAUGGCUUUAUAAGCGAUGUAUCCAGUCUAUAGGAAGAGAUGAAAUAACAUGGGCUUAAAGAGAUGUGGGAUCCUUAUACAAAACCCCUGGAAGGACCAGCAGUGGGAAAUGUGGAGAUGAAGAGGACUAAGACUUGCUCUAUGGAAAUUGCAAAAUUAAAAGAAAGAGACGUGACUCUGAGGCCAA